CAGAUGUGGAUAUUGCUGGCUAGAUCAGUACCUAUUGUUCAUCCUGAAGUGAGAAGAUAGUUACGAGGCAACCACUUUGGUAGAUUGUUAAUCGGGCAAUCAGGCGAAAGUUGACCGAUCUCCAUUCCCAAAUGAUUCAUUCGGUCCCUGCUGAAGACUCGAGCACAAAAUCUGAGCUGAAUCCCAAUACUGUACAGAGAGAAUGCUGCAUUUUCAGAUCUCCUCUCAUACGCAGAAGAGAAGAUGGCAGCAUGCAGUGGCCACUCUGGUGAUGAAUAUCUGUUAUUUGUUAAGUAGGAUGCCGUGCACAAUCCUGAUUUGAUAGAGGCAGAUGUGAGAAGCACGGAAGAACAUCUGGUGAAACUUCUGAAAUGCCUGUUUCACUGCCGCUGCUACUGUGUGAUCCAGAAUCUCCGGAGGGAAGGCCCCAAAUCCUCGGCUUUGCUUGUUGCUUGGCGGCCGGGGCAGGGUCGAAGCGCUCAGCAGAGAUGGUGCUCGGUGCUCGGUGUUGGAGGGCUGGUCGGAAGCUUGAAGUUUUUGGAUGGACUCAGAGUCGGCUGUGGUCGGGUG
This is a long non-coding RNA of Mobula hypostoma (lesser devil ray), 570 nucleotides long. RefSeq lists it as uncharacterized. The transcript has 3 exons. NCBI's taxonomy places the organism in Eukaryota, Metazoa, Chordata, Chondrichthyes, Myliobatiformes, Myliobatidae. The record is from RefSeq and is a predicted model, not a curated record.